AGAGUUUGAUCAUGGCUCAGAUUGAACGCUGGCGGCAGGCCUAACACAUGCAAGUCGAGCGGAUGACAGGAGCUUGCUCCUGGAUUCAGCGGCGGACGGGUGAGUAAUGCCUAGGAAUCUGCCUGGUAGUGGGGGACAACGUCUCGAAAGGGACGCUAAUACCGCAUACGUCCUACGGGAGAAAGCAGGGGACCUUCGGGCCUUGCGCUAUCAGAUGAGCCUAGGUCGGAUUAGCUAGUUGGUGAGGUAAUGGCUCACCAAGGCGACGAUCCGUAACUGGUCUGAGAGGAUGAUCAGUCACACUGGAACUGAGACACGGUCCAGACUCCUACGGGAGGCAGCAGUGGGGAAUAUUGGACAAUGGGCGAAAGCCUGAUCCAGCCAUGCCGCGUGUGUGAAGAAGGUCUUCGGAUUGUAAAGCACUUUAAGUUGGGAGGAAGGGCAGUAACUUAAUACGUUGCUGUUUUGACGUUACCGACAGAAUAAGCACCGGCUAACUCUGUGCCAGCAGCCGCGGUAAUACAGAGGGUGCAAGCGUUAAUCGGAAUUACUGGGCGUAAAGCGCGCGUAGGUGGUUUGUUAAGUUGGAUGUGAAAGCCCCGGGCUCAACCUGGGAACUGCAUUCAAAACUGACAAGCUAGAGUAUGGUAGAGGGUGGUGGAAUUUCCUGUAGCGGUGAAAUGCGUAGAUAUAGGAAGGAACACCAGUGGCGAAGGCGACCACCUGGACUGAUACUGACACUGAGGUGCGAAAGCGUGGGGAGCAAACAGGAUUAGAUACCCUAGUAGUCC
Molecule: ribosomal RNA, 791 nt
Filed under: uncultured bacterium
Lineage: Bacteria
Description: bacterial SSU rRNA
Rfam family: Bacterial small subunit ribosomal RNA
Source: RNAcentral